GGAUAUGAGGAUGAUCUGGCUGCUAUAUCUGUCACCCUAUUUUCUCCAAUGUUGAUCUGUCUGAUCUGAGUGACAAGGUGGGUGUGACUCCUUCCUCACCAUUCCACAUGUGUCCCUCCUAAAGAAUGUACUCUGUACAAGAGGACAACCUGACCAAAUAAAGUAGGACCUGAUUUCAGUCAAAGGUAUAGCAAGCAGUAGCUGCAUUCCCCUGCCAGAGCCUCCAAACAAGCUCUCAAGGAUUUAUCUGACCAAAGACCGAAACUCUCUCCAAAACUAAGUAUUGGAGUGCUGCGUU
Molecule: small nuclear RNA, 298 nt
Filed under: Mus pahari (shrew mouse)
Lineage: Eukaryota; Metazoa; Chordata; Mammalia; Rodentia; Muridae
Description: sRNA (MGP_PahariEiJ_G0008302.1)
Rfam family: 7SK RNA
About the family: 7SK was discovered as an abundant small nuclear RNA in the mid-70s but a possible function has only recently been suggested. Two independent studies have found that 7SK RNA binds the CDK9/cyclin T complex (known as elongation factor P-TEFb).
Source: RNAcentral